This 688-nucleotide long non-coding RNA is filed under the name Urocitellus parryii (Arctic ground squirrel). RNAcentral describes it as "lncRNA (ENSUPAG00010020135.1)". Lineage: Eukaryota; Metazoa; Chordata; Mammalia; Rodentia; Sciuridae. The record is from RNAcentral.
CCGGAAGCCAACCGGGCAGGGAGCCUCCGCCAGGAGUUCAUUGUCUGCGCCUUGCAGGCCGGUCACAGGUCCCCCAGGGAGCGCUGUGGACGUCCUCACAGUGUGCCAGGAUCACCAAUUAUCUGAUUGCUCUGCAUGGCUGUCUUUAAGGAGAGUGCUGUUUCACCUAUCUUCUUGCACAAAGAAAAUCUGAAAGUCCUGAGUUCCCUAACCUGGUCACGGAAGAGGCGGUCACCUGGAGCAGGGGCUUGCAGAACCAUCUCUCUCGCCCCACAGAACAGGGUGUAGGAGAUACCCUGGCCCUGCCCACCACCACUACAGACUGCAGGUGACGGGCUCCAUCAGGAAACUCUGUCCAUCUGAGGACACUAAUGGUGGCCCCCAAAGUUAUUAUUAUGAACCACCAGACAAGAACCUGUGUUCGCUAACAAUUUGUCAGAACUAAUUUUGUUUUUCUCCAAUAAUUGAAAAUUAAUGUCUUGAAGUGAAAGCAGAUGUUCAAGUCAUCUUCUGAAUUGGGAUAUAAAAUGGGGCUCUGUGGAUGUGCUCACUAAUCUAACAGCAAUUUCCCUCUCCUCCAUAAUGGGGGUUGCUCGGCCUUUGUCACCCAAGGCCAGAGAUUGGGAGCUGAGAGAAGGGGGCCUGGGUGGCACUCCUUGUGCUCCUUGGGGGUUUGUUUGGGAGGGAG